CAGUAGCAGGUAGUGAGUUUGUUGCGGUGCAAACAAAAAAAGCUCGCAGUUUGUAUUUUUGUCAGAGGGCUUCCAUACCACCUCUGGGUGAAUGGCUGGCUCGACCUUCGCAUCCUGCAGGAGAAUGGAUCUCCGGUUUACUGAGUGGGGGAGUGUCUGCGAAUUUCAAUUGGAGGAAACUAGAGUGUUCCAAGCUGGCAUACGGCUUGAGCACACUACCAUGGUAUAAUAAGGUAGGACCUUUGUUUUGUUUUAUUUUGGGUGGUUUCUAGAGCUGAGGUAGUGUUUAAUUGUGAUAGCUUUUUGGAGUGGACUCGUGUUUAUUUGCCAGUGGCGAAAUUCUUGCAUUUGCCAGAGAUGGAUUAGUGUAGAAACAGUUACCCUUUAUGUAUCAUAGAUCAAGAACGAACGUUCGGGGAUCGAAGAUGAUCAGAUACCAU
This 440-nucleotide ribosomal RNA is filed under the name uncultured eukaryote. RNAcentral describes it as "bacterial SSU rRNA". It matches the Rfam family "Eukaryotic small subunit ribosomal RNA", at positions 621 to 1018 of the family's 1831-position model. The record is from RNAcentral.